Molecule: long non-coding RNA, 1192 nt
Organism: Gadus macrocephalus (Pacific cod)
Lineage: Eukaryota; Metazoa; Chordata; Actinopteri; Gadiformes; Gadidae
Exons: 3
Source: RefSeq, a predicted model, not a curated record
UGUGCACAUUAGUCGACUCGUCGUUGCCAGCAGGCUGCACCCGACAGCCAAGGGAUUUACAUGUGGCAUAGCAAGUCUCUGAAGCAGUGUCUCACACUCGAGUCCUGACCGAGGGCCUUGAAACUGGCAUGCCUGUUCAAAACAUCUCCAGGACAACAAGGUUAUUUUGUGUUGACGUGUAUUGAAUUCUUAAGGGCAAAGAAGAUGAAGGAGAAUGCGUGCAGUGGGCUGAAUAGAGAAUUUGUGAAUCAAAGGCAACACCAUCGAAUGCAUUAUGAAAUUAAGCACUAUCAGGUUGUCAAGGCUGUAGCUCAGCGGGCACAUGGUCCUGGAUACCUGAUAUAUAUAUAUUUUUUUAACUAUUUAUAUAUGGAAUCUGAAUGCACUCCAAGAAAUGCUGCAGUUCUUUGUGCCACAAGAGGCCAAGAAGCUCUACUACAAGAAGUUAAGGCAGAAGAUGAAGAUUAUUACAAAUUAUCCAAGUCAGUUCCGACCAAGUAAUUUGAUUGGACAAGAGGCAUUCCAGUGCUGAUAGAGUAUAACAGCACUGGGUCUUUUAACUAUACACGUAUCGCUCCGCUUUACGGGUGUUCUCAUAACCGUUAAUGUUAUUAACAAUCUUUUUGUAGCUUAGAUUGCAGCUAACUUUGCACAGCAAAUAUGAACAUGUUUCCAGGAAUAACAUUGGAGUUGAAUUAAGAAUGGUCGCCAGAAGAGGACCAAGGGAACCUAAUGUAAUGCUAAUGUGUUUAUGUGUUGCUUGGCAACAGUUUGACCAGUUGCAGAUCUAUUUGUGUUGGCGGAGCCAAAUAAAUCAUUAAUGAACCAAAGAAAUCUGAUCAUAAUAUGUUAAUUAUUAUUGUUAACUAAUGAUUGGUGCUUGUAGAACUGUUGUAUGAAAGCAAUAUCACUCAGGAGGGAGUGCUUUUCUAAUACGGCUGGGAUUCGGUCGAAGGUAUGAGGCCGUUGGCCGAGUGCCGAAGAGAAUCACAGCCGUGCUGAUAUUCAGUACAACAGCACUCCCUCUCGUGUGAUAUUGCUUAAUUAUUCUGUUCCAAAAUUCCAUAAAAAGUCUUGAUUACUAAGAAAUAUUGAUGUAUCAUUACUUUUGUCAGUUUCAAGUUUUUGUUUUAACACAGGUGUACCAACAAUGUGUAUGAUGUAUGACUACCUAAGCUGUACAUGUCUUUAA